Molecule: ribosomal RNA, 853 nt
Filed under: Tricladium attenuatum
Lineage: Eukaryota; Fungi; Ascomycota; Leotiomycetes; Helotiales; Tricladiaceae
Description: eukaryotic LSU rRNA
Rfam family: Eukaryotic large subunit ribosomal RNA
Source: RNAcentral
GGGAUUACCUCAGUAACGGCGAGUGAAGCGGUAACAGCUCAAAUUUGAAAUCUGCCGCAAGGCCGAGUUGUAAUUUGUAGAAGAUGCUUUGGGUAUGGCCCCGGUCUAAGUUCGUUGGAACACGACGUCAUAGAGGGUGAGAAUCCCGUAUGUGACUGGGUGCUUUUGCCUAUGUAAAGCUCUUUCGACGAGUCGAGUUGUUUGGGAAUGCAGCUCAAAAUGGGUGGUAUAUUUCAUCUAAAGCUAAAUAUUGGCCAGAGACCGAUAGCGCACAAGUAGAGUGAUCGAAAGAUGAAAAGCACUUUGGAAAGAGAGUUAAACAGUACGUGAAAUUGUUGAAAGGGAAGCGCUUGCAACCAGACUUGCACGCUGUUGAUCAUCCAGGCUUCUGUUUGGUGCACUCAACUGCGUUCAGGCCAGCAUCGGUUUUGGUGGUGGGAUAAAGGCCUUGGGAAUGUAGCUUCUUUCGGGGAGUGUUAUAGCCCUCGGUGCAAUGCCGCCUACCGGGACCGAGGACCGCGCUUCGGCUAGGAUGCUGGCGUAAUGGUUGUAAGCGACCCGUCUUGAAACACGGACCAAGGAGUCUAACAUCUAUGCGAGUGUUUGGGUGUCAAACCCAUACGCGUAAUUAACGUGAACGGAGGUGAGAACCCUUAAGGGUGCAUCAUCGACCGAUCCUGAUGUCUUCGGAUGGAUUUGAGUAAGAGCAUAGCUGUUGGGACCCGAAAGAUGGUGAACUAUGCCUGAAUAGGGUGAAGCCAGAGGAAACUCUGGUGGAGGCUCGCAGCGGUUCUGACGUGCAAAUCGAUCGUCAAAUUUGGGUAUAGGGGCGAAAGACUAAUCGAACCAUCUA